Molecule: non-coding RNA, 584 nt
Organism: Sus scrofa (pig)
Lineage: Eukaryota; Metazoa; Chordata; Mammalia; Artiodactyla; Suidae
Source: RefSeq, a predicted model, not a curated record
AUGGAUACUAGUCGGAUUUGUUUCUGCUGAGCCACAACGGGAACUCCAAAUUACUUAUUUUAUAUUUGCCUUAUUUUCUUCAUUUUUAAGCUUAAUUUUAAGCUUAACUCCCUGCACUUAAUUUUUAUGACAAUUAACCUAAGGGCUCAGAGCAUGAGCUUUGCAAAUUAAGCUUGAGGGAUGGGUGGGGCAAGGGGGAGGGAAUGCCAGCCCAAGGAGAUUGGUUUUGUUUUGUUUGGGCCGCAUCCAUGGCAUGUGGAAAUUUCCAGGCUAGAGUUCGAACCGUAGCCACAGUUGUGACCUGGGCCACAGUUGCAGCAAAGCUAGGUCCUAAACCUGCUGCACCACAAAAGAACUUUCCAAAAGAGGGUUAAUGCUACAAAUUCAAUUUCGCAGACACAACAAAGCAGCCAAAUCUGGGGACUGUCAUGCCUAGUCCAAGAUCUGCCUAUAUCCUUGGGAAAGGCCUUAUGACAAAGUUUUCAUUUGAAAGUGAUAAACAGGAAAAAAAAAAUCUCUUAGAGUCCAGUGUCAGUGUCAAUCCUAUCCUUGUCUCACGACUGUCUACAUUAAUCUUAUAUUUA